GCCUUCGUAGCUCAACGGAUAGAGCACCUGACUUCGAAUCAGGGGCGUGGAGGUUCGAAUCCUCUCGAAGGCU
Molecule: transfer RNA, 73 nt
Filed under: Nocardia uniformis
Lineage: Bacteria; Bacillati; Actinomycetota; Actinomycetes; Mycobacteriales; Nocardiaceae
Rfam family: tRNA
About the family: Transfer RNA (tRNA) molecules are approximately 80 nucleotides in length.
Source: Rfam by way of RNAcentral